CAAAACCUGAGGCGCAGCCAACCACAGACUACUAACCCUAUCCAUGGUGCUGACAGAGUCCCACUGUAUGGUCCAGGCUGGCCUCAAACUCUCAGCAAUCAUCCAGCCUCAGCUUCCUGAGUGCUGAGAUUACAAGCAUGUACCACCACGCCCAGCACAUUCACGUUUUACUGAAUUUAAGGAGUUAUUCAACAGGAAUUCUGACUACUCUUGAUGGAAGGAGCUCAGCUGCCAGUACUUUUCAGGAAAGCAAGUCUAUUACCAUCCCGCAUAUCUUCACUACCCCUGUUCCUGCCUCUGAGCCUGCCAUGGAGUUUGCCCUGGAGUUGUCUUCCUGCUGCCUGAUGGUUCCUACGUCUUCCCUAAGACACCAGGCUAGUCAGACAGAAUGGACCUAUGAGGGAAAAUCUUCAAUAUCAAAACUGAAAACAGAUCAAGGAAUCUCAAUACUAUCCACUAUGAAGUCUGAUUUGGAAGUUGCCUCUGAAAUGGAGCAAGAUGAAGAUGAAGAUGGAGAUGAUGGUGAGAAAACAACAUAAUCUAUUCAAAGAUUCCUGCUUUCAGCAGAGUAUUCCUGAGCUGGGAAAUUUCCCUCGAGUGGUUGCCUCCCUUCUGGUCUAGCUUGUACCAAGUUCCAGAGUUGACCUGGGGACAUAUUGGGC
This is a long non-coding RNA of Heterocephalus glaber (naked mole-rat), 662 nucleotides long. The record is from Ensembl. Lineage: Eukaryota; Metazoa; Chordata; Mammalia; Rodentia; Bathyergidae.